Molecule: ribosomal RNA, 255 nt
Filed under: uncultured bacterium
Lineage: Bacteria
Description: partial 16S ribosomal RNA
Rfam family: Bacterial small subunit ribosomal RNA
Source: RNAcentral
UACGGUAGGGUGCGAGCGUUGUCCGGAAUUAUUGGGCGUAAAGAGCUUGUAGGCGGUUUGUCGCGUCUGCCGUGAAAAAUCCGGGGCUCAACCCCGGACUUGCGGUGGGUACGGGCAGACUAGAGUGUGGUAGGGGAGACUGGAAUUCCUGGUGUAGCGGUGAAAUGCGCAGAUAUCAGGAGGAACACCGAUGGCGAAGGCAGGUCUCUGGGCCACUACUGACGCUGAGAAGCGAAAGCGUGGGGAGCGAACAGG